CAAAAGCCCAUACAACCGACAUCACAGAAGGCCUGUUUACCUUGGAUGACCACUUUGGCCGUUUGCUACACAUGUCCCUCCAGUCUCCCCACUGACAGAGGUGAAACUGAGGGCUCUCUUCCAACCAUAAGGACAAAGCACACCAGAGUUUUCUGGCCCCGGGCUCAACAUACGCCAACCAUACAGAACUCUGGGAAAGAACACUGUGUAAUCCAGCAAACAGCCACUUCCCUCCAUCACCAUGAAAACCAACUACUCAGAGACUGUCACCCAGGAAACGGGAUGAAGAGAUCUCCAGCCAGAGGGCAAUGCAGUCCCACAGCCAACACUCAGCCCGGUUCCAACAUCACCGACUGCUCUGUUCUCUUUUCUCCCAACCCCACCAAAAUCGUUUCGUUCUUCUAUCUGUCCUGACUGACUCACAUGUGCAGUAGCCAUGACUCACUCACAUGUGAAAUAGGAUUACUAUGUCCUAAUACACACAUACUGUGCCCGUAACAAUGCCCCCCUCCCCCCUCAAACAGAAAUCCAGAUUAGGAACAAUGUGAAAUCACUCAUUGUUUGUCCUUGCAAAAGCACAUGUAUCCCUCCUCACUCUGAAUUACAUACUGUAAUGUACUUCCUUUACUCUAUGUCCAUCAGACUGUUUGCUAUAUGGAGCAAGUAUCACAGUUUAAACAGCAGUAUACAUUCACUUUCUAUUCGUUCUUUAACUCUGCAGUCCCAGAGACUGCUGCUAGUCAUGCAGUGGCCAGCCCCAUACAACCUGAGUUACAGCAUGUUAGCAUGUGUAAUUAGAAGGAGGCAAUAGUAUGUUUCUUGGAAUUUUUCCAUCAACAAAGAAAACAUUUACUGUCACUGAAUGUUUGAUAAAUCAUGACAUUGCCAAGAAAGCACUAUACUCUCAAUAUAUCUGACGGAUUUGCUGCGGUUUACUAAAGAUUACAUCCUUAUUCUGUAUUAGGUCAACAACCCGUUGGUGCUUCAUCACAAUCACGUGUAAACUCAAUGAAGGGCCAUUUGUCUCACCCUCCACUGAAUAAACACUCCAGCACAACAGCCAUAAUGUGCAGAAAAUGCAUUUACCCUCCCCUUAGCUCAUCAAUCACCCGUUUACAUUAUAUUCAGGGCCUGGGAAUAAAACAUGAGCUGCACGUUCAGAAAUCCAUAUGCAUCAUCAUAGUCUGCAUGCUUUUAAUUUGCCAUAUGGGCUUGGCUGAAACUGUAUUGAUUUUCUUCCUUUUCUCUUCCUUUGUGUUUGGAGUGAAAAGCAUGUUCUUCUCUACAUAUGUAACCAGCAAAAUCAUCCAUUUCAUUUAACAAAGCCCUGGUUUUCACAUGUGUGUAAUAUGAAUUUACUCCCUUUUAUACAUCUUGGUUGGCUACGGCCCAUAUGGCCCAGAGACUGUGUCUAUCCACUAUCACUAUAUUUUCCUUUUCCAUUUGCACCUAAUAUUUUUCUGUCACCACCAUUCUCAACGGUAAUGAUGGGUACUGCUGAUAAGAAAACGUGAUUGUGAACUAGUCUCAACAGUAAUGAUGGGUACUACUGAUAAGAAAACGUGAAUGCUUUAGCGAUGGCUCGUUGAGCUAGGGCUUUUCCUGUAAAAUAGCUUUCUGUUCCACAGUCCAGUUAAAAAACUCACUUUUUACUAUAUGGCAUAAAACCCAGCCCCAAUGGGAUGUAACUGGAUGAGAAACUGUCCAUGGCAUUUUACAAGGGAUUAGGAAUUGCCAAUUUGAGUGUGAUUGGAAGGAAGUAAGUUACAUUACAUGUAAUAAAUG
Long non-coding RNA from Esox lucius (northern pike), 1785 nucleotides. The record is from Ensembl. NCBI's taxonomy places the organism in Eukaryota, Metazoa, Chordata, Actinopteri, Esociformes, Esocidae.